Molecule: small RNA, 27 nt
Filed under: Bombyx mori (domestic silkworm)
Lineage: Eukaryota; Metazoa; Arthropoda; Insecta; Lepidoptera; Bombycidae
Description: ovarian small RNA-19824
Source: RNAcentral
UAAUGUAGAACUGGAUGUACUUGUCGA